GGGUCGCGGGCCGCGGUGCCUCCAGAGCCUGUCAGCUGGGAGACGCCUGCGCGCUCCGCGGUCCGGAUAAGUGUGUCUGGGCGCUGGCAAGGCGAGGUCCAGUGCCGGCAGGCCGGCCGUCGGGUGGGCGAGCCCUCCCGGUCUCCAGGCGCAGGUGCUCAGCACCGCCGGGCGGUCUCGAAGCGAAGCAGGGCCGGGAGUGUUGAGGGCCGUCGCCUAGGCAGCUGGCAUAGACGAGCCCGGGCAGAGGGCGAGCAUCUGCUCCUACUCGGCCGGAGUCGGACUCCAGUUCUGGGGUCGCGACCUCAGUUUCUAAGCCAGCUGCUUUUCCUCUUGGUGUCCAGCUGAUGUGGCGACAGUGAGUUGCCAGCGCCCCUGAGCUACCCGUCCUGAGUCCAGCUUGAAAGCAAUUGUGAUUCAAAGUGCUCAGUCCAUCUUUACUAAGAAAGAAGCCCGCUCGUUGAGAACCCCCGAAGUACAGGUCUCUCCAGUUAAGGAGUAUGUACCCCUUAGUGUCGCUGUGGAACUCAGCGCUAGAGGAGGAUACAGUUACUGCUGGGCAAAGCCGCUUAUGGGAGUCUGCAGCUCAGCAUUUGAUGCUGCAGAAGCCUGCCCGGUGAGGAGAGGCAACUCUCUGAAAGUAAAAACAAUGUUAUGAGCAAAAUAAGACGUGUCCGUGGAUUUGAUCUCAAACACAGGCUACAGAUCUGUAACCUCAGUUCAAGCAAAUGUCCCUAGUUGCAAACUAAGGACCUGAGAGCAUCUUCUGGGUAGGGUCAGGUUAGGUGUAGUUAGGAAAAAGGUUUCUGGAGGUGCGUGCCCUCGGUCGGUGAAUUCCUUCUUUAGGAGUUAUCGAAUCUUCUCUAGGCCCUUUUGGGACCUAGAGUGGAGUGAGCACUAAUAAUAAUAAUAAUAAUAUGUUAUUUAGUCAUACCGUGUUAGCAGCCAGGAAAUACGUAAAUGGGCUCAUAUUCACCUGUUCCCACCCUUCUGCCCUCCAUAGGCUUGGACUUAGGGAGUUCAGAUAUUACAGAAACCUGAUCUUACAGAAAUGUUUAUUUUGCUGAACAUGAGAAGGGUCUGGAAAAUGCCCAGCUGUUGUGCCAAAAAGGAGAAAUGGGGUUUAAUGCAGUGACAGUGUGCUUCCCUAGUAUGCUUAAAGUCCUGGGGCACCUGAGGCGCAACAAAACAAACGGUGCCAUUUGGUUAGUUUUGCUGGCCGUGGUUGUUAGAGUUGAUAGUAUUAGCUAUCACAGGGUCAAAGCGGUUGUUUUCUGGGUUCCUGAGAGUCUUCUACCACCUUAUGUGGUUCCCUCUCUUUAAAGCCAAGACAGAGAACAUGUUUGGAGGCCCCAUGUAUUUUCAGGUUGAAUGAGAGUUUUACCGCUGAGAAUAUUUGGAAUCUGUGGACUUGGUGGAAUAGAGUAUUCCUUUGGUGCACCCCAGGACAGUCCUUGCUUGAGUAAUUGUUCUGUUUCCUUCACGCUUGAGUCUCAGACAGCCAGUUUCUUAUUUCCAGGAGCUGGCACUAGGUGUGUUUUCCAUUAUGCUGGCCAUUUAGUAUAAAACCUGUUUUCUCAUCUGGGAGAGGCCUGAGAAGGGCUGUAAGUCCAGAGGAUUGGACUCUUGUUGGUGCUGAGGCCGUGACUGGAGGGUGAGCCUCUCUGCUCUGGUGCCUCAUUCUGCCUUCCUUAGGUUUGAGUCACACCACAGGCAGGUAGCAAAGCCUGUAAGAACUCUUGAAAAGAAAAAUCAGGAGUCCAGGUCUAGCUUGAAGUGUAGUUCACUUGCCUUGCAUGUGUGAACCCCUGGGAUUCUGUCCCUUCCACUGCCAAAAAAGAAAAAAGAAAAAAAAGGAGGCUGAAACAAAAGGAUUGCUGAAUUUAAGGCUAUGCUGGACUACACAGAGUCUGACUGUGGAGCAAGACAUGAUGAAGACUGAGCUACUGCCUGCCCUGACUGACAACUGCACAACUGCAUGUACCCGGUCACUGAGGAGGACACCCAGGAGGCUGCCAUUGUAGACCCACUGCAACCCCAGAAGGUUAUAGAAACUGUGAAAAGCACCGUGUAAAGCUGACCACAGUGCUCACCACUCACCACCACUGGGUGGGACCUGCUGUUCACCGGGGAAGUCACUGUACACAGAAGGGGCAGACCCUUGAGCAGGGAAGGAUUCUAAGAACACACCAAGGCUCCUUCCUUCUUCCUCUUGGGUCACUGACCUCUGGGUUCCGCUAAUGCAGCAACUUCCAGUAACUACUGAAAACGUGGAGGAUUCUGGCUUUUCUAUCACCUUCUCAUGUGUAUGCCAUCGUCCAGCCCAAGGCUGAGCUACAGGUUUGGCCUGCGGCUCAAAGGACGAUCAAGUUGUGUUAUUGCUUGUUGGUAGCGACAUUUGAAAGGGACCACGCUGGUGGGACUGAGAAGCUGGUGAUGCUGCAGCCUGAGCUGCAGGUUUAUGGAGGUGAUGACCGCACUGGGGCCUUGACGCAUAAAGUCACACACCUUUCCACUGCAGGACAGAGUGUUACAUUUCAGCACUCAUGUGUGCUAGUGACGCUGUAUUUGUUCAGCAAGAGCAGAAAGACAACACCACAGUGUUCUAAUUAGCCAUCCAUAUGCCCUGGCUGAUGAGAUUUUCAAAAUUACAAACAGAGGCCACCCUUUCAGUAUAGUGACUGAAAAAUAUAGGUAAGAAGAUGAAUUUUACAAAAUGAUUUUAAGAGUUGUUUCCUAUGCAAAGCAGAACUGCAUAAGGUUAUUAAUUUUCACUGACUUUUAUAUGAAAUUGUAGUGAAUAUUCUGUUUGACCCUUCUCCUAGAGAGUCCAACACAAGUAACACUCACCGCUGUAACCUUAGGUAGAUAGGCAGAGGAGCCCGAGUCCUGAUGCGCUGAUGUGUAUUCCACUUGUUGCUGGUCCCCUGUCAUAGCAGAACCCUUUACCAGGCUCCACGCUGAGGUCAGGGGAGAAGAGUACAAGCCUCGUGUGCUCACGAGCUUCCAUCUGCAGCUGUGGCUCUAAUUGCAGAUGUUAGGAACAGAGCCAGGGUGGUGGGCCCUGAGUUCCAUCACUUCAAGGGAGAGAGGAAGGAGGAGAGCUGUGAGUUCAAGGUCAGGACUGCCCACGUAGCAAUACCUGGUUUAAAGUUAAACCAGGUAUUAGAAGUGGACAAAAUGAUGUUAACUAAAGAGCUGGAUGUUCUGGACAUUGAAAACCACAUGUUAAGAAUUCUUGAAUGAUUUGGGCACUCAAUGCACUUGAUGGAACUUAACAUGAAAUACCACAAAUUCUUUAUGUUCCCAGAGCCUUUCAUUGGUUUUUCACAAUAAAUUACAUAUAUCUCAAAAGAUUUAUUCCUGACAUGAACCAACUAUCCAUAUUAUUUGCAUAAAAGUGAAAAUGGUUUAAUAUUUAUGUAGAUAAUACAAAAGCCUUAUGUGUGCAUUUGAGGUAUGGUAAAAUAGUUGAGUUAUAUCUAAGUCUAAUUAGGAAAUUGAAAAACAUAUUUAUACGCUAAUUCCUGGCUUUCUGGAGUCUGAUUCCAGGUACUCAGUACUCAGGUGCCCGUAUAAACCGGAAACAAAAGGCCGACCAGGGUUCUGCUGCUGCAGUGAGAAGUGAGCGACUCACAGUCCUCGCUUCUGUGUUACUUCCCUUCCAGAGGAAGGCGGCACAGUGGGAAUUGGUCUAAUGUGAGAGAUGGAGCUUGGGAAAUGUGUGGGUGCCAUGGGGCUGUGGGAGAGGAUAGAACACUAAUAUCCUGGGGUGUCAACUGAUUCAAGGUAACUCUCCCUGUCACCACAGAACCCAGUGUCCAACAUGAUGUUCUAAUGCCUGUGUGUGUGUCUUCUUGAAAGAAGGGAGAUCUAGGUGUGGAGACAAGAGUGUUGAAAUACAAUACAAACACAGGAAAGCUGUUUCACUGCGUAAAUAUUACAACAGGAGUAUCUCACCCAGCCAGUCUUCCAUUAAAUUGUUACAUUUAUAAUUUGUAGAAUGAAAAUAAAAUCACACCAUUGCACUAUCCUUCUUGAUCUAAUUCCUUCUCUCUCCCUCAGAAUGAUGAUGGCAUGUUUUCAUUAUUGGCAGGUGUUUACAGAAACCUACUGUAGGCUGUGCCUGUUCAGUGAUGCUCGCAUGUGUGUUACAGGUCUGAGUCCUAGGUACUGGAUAACCAGAGACUCCAACAAAUGGCAAAGAUACAAACCAUGGACAGAGGUACAACGAUCUUGAGGAGGAGGUCUGAGCAUACAGAUGUGCUGUAUACAUGGAGCUCCCUGGCUUCCAGUUUCUGAGUACAAAUGAAAACAUUGCCGCUGCAGGGACUGGAGUCCUCAGGGAUGAGCAGAUGGCAGCCCCCGGGUGCUUUUCCUACCUUCCCUGGAGAAGCCAUGCGUGCUGGUCUAAUGUGGCCAUUCAAACAGGAAUGGAUCCUUCUUCAUUACCUAUGCUGGAUGCUGAGUCCUGGCCGAGAGACACCUGUGCAGCUUCAUCCCAAGGCCUCUCUGCCCGCACUAGGCAGAUGACCACAUGCUCCCAGAUGCAGAAUCCCCCAACAAAAAGGAAUCAUCUUCCCAGGAAGUUCUCCAGAAAAGACCAAGGGAAACUCACUGACCUGGCUUGAGUCGAUGGCUUGCCACAACCAAUCAGACCUUAAUAUUGAUGGCUUCAAGGAAGAGGAAAACAGGUUACACACAACAAGGGCAGCUGCACAUAAAAUAUGUGUAGUAGAUUCCUCAUGAAUGAAUUUCUGGUAGUAAAAGAAAGGGGGAAAAUACAGGACAGGAAGAGAGAAGAUGUUCCUGCCAUCAUUCCCAUCAAGGCAUGCAGCUGAAGGAAUACUGUCCCUGGCUCUAUUUUUUGGAUAAUGAAGACACCUAAUUCCUAAAUGAGGGAAAAACAGAGAUGAAGAAACUGGAACAGAGAGAAAGAAAAGGACACGUUGAAGGUCAGGAAGGCAGCUGAACUAAAAGCCCAGCAGCUCAUCUCACACAGCCCGUCGUCGCCAUUACACGGCUACUUCUCCCAACUUCCUCGAGGAUCAAAAUUGCAGGGUAAAGGCUCCUUGAGCAUACAGAGAUGUGGUAAAUUUCCAGACUGCUCUCCUCCUCCAAUCUGUGAGAUGUUGUCAUCUCCUACUGCACUUCCUCCAUCAAAAGCAGAGCAGCAAGAAUGGUUUCUUUGAGAACUGGAAAAACAGGGCUUUAGCAUGGAGGUUCAGUCAUGUAACUCAACCGCCUUUCUCUAAGGCUUGAAGAGGAAGCUGUUGGCUGUUCUAGGCCCUUUAAAGGAUUUUCUUCAUAAAUCUGAUUGGAUUCUCUCCUUCCCAAGUACGGAAAAGAUUCAUCUAAGGACUCUGAUGUUUCUUCAAUAAAUCCAGGCUCCUCCAUUGACUCGAAUCUAGAGACUCCUCCAGGCUCCAAGUUAUUCUCACCUUCAGACAUUGUCUUGACUGGCAGCUCUUCCACCAACUUCAAGACUAUAACUCUACUUUUUUAAUGUGCUUUUUUCCUAUGAACCUAUAAGACAGAUGUUGAUAUUAAAAUAAGCAUAAUAAAGAUGUUGAAAUUA
This is a long non-coding RNA of Peromyscus leucopus (white-footed mouse), 5578 nucleotides long. RefSeq lists it as uncharacterized. The transcript is spliced from 12 exons. NCBI's taxonomy places the organism in Eukaryota, Metazoa, Chordata, Mammalia, Rodentia, Cricetidae. The record is from RefSeq and is a predicted model, not a curated record.